Molecule: long non-coding RNA, 1321 nt
Organism: Solea solea (common sole)
Lineage: Eukaryota; Metazoa; Chordata; Actinopteri; Pleuronectiformes; Soleidae
Exons: 3
Source: RefSeq, a predicted model, not a curated record
GACAGGGUUGAAACGGCUUCUUUCUACCAAUAUCUCUUGGAUUUCUUGUCCGAAAAAACUGCCAGUGUCAGCACUGCACACACUGGUGCCCUCAGAGAGGUCUGCAAAACUCUAUUGUCAAGGAUCAUAUGGCCCUAUUCCUGAAAUGGCUUUAUCAACACCAUCCACUAAUCACUGCCCCCAUCUACACCAAUUUCAAGGAGUUAGGAGACUUAUGUAAUAAAGUACUACUCUUCACUGAGGAUGACCGGAUGAGAAACCAAGAAAGUUAAAAGAGACCACAAGGGAGCAAGGAGUGAUGAAAGACUUCAAGCCUGAGAGAAAGUUAAAAUGAGGGUGAACGUGUGGUAGAGGAGGACAUAUGAAAGAGAGGGAGAAGGAUGGAGAGCCUGAAGCCUUUCUCCCUCUAUCCAGCGCUCGUCUUCUGCAGCAUCAUGGGAGUUGGUGUGCUACAUUCGAGACGGAAUCAGCUAAUAGCCUACAUCCACUGCUCGCUGUACUUUUACUGCUUAGUCCUGUAUCUUUUUGAAAAAAUUCCAUUUCUUUCCUGCCCUCCUUUGUCACCAUCACACGAAAAUCCCAGUCUGAUCGAAAGCCAAAAACAAAGUGAUGAUGUUAUUUCCUUGCUAGUGUUGAACCAUGGGUCUUAUGUGACUUAUUCCAUUGAGGGUUUCUUACAUCUGGUUUUAUGAAAGAGUAGUAUCCACUGCAGCACUCUGUAGACCAGGGUUCAAAAUGAGUGCUGCUCCAUUUGUGCGAUUGAAAAAUGCUUAGCUUACUUGAAGAAAUUGUUUUUUUUUCUUCUUUUUUUGCCACCUAGUGGUUGAUAAUACUUCAAACAUUAAAUCUGGUUCAAGGUUCAGCUUGAGCUUGACCUAGAAAAACCUCAUGCAUCUGUCUGCAAGGUGUGGAACAUUCAUCGGGGCCAUUUCGCAUUGUUAAUAUGUAAAAUCACAGACACAUAUGCACGUGCGCACGCACGCACACACACACACACACACACACACACACUCCAGUGGGACAGUGUGAACAGUCCGUUCAUCCGAUCACGGCUCACCAGGGAGAUACUUGUCACCACGGAGACCAGCAACAGAGCCACUAGGGCAUUGUGGGACAGCUCAGUCUCCCAACAUAUAGACAAUCUGCCAUCGCUGAUAGAUGACAAGGAAGAUUUAUGUGCCUUUUGAUUCAACUGUUUUACUGAUUACCUUUCUGUCCAUGUGUUGCUCUUUUCUAUUAGCCUGGUUUAUUUCCUCUCUGAACUGUUAUGCAGUCGGAUCAUGAAUGAAAUUGGCCAACAAAAAUGACAUUUUCAAAUUAU